Molecule: long non-coding RNA, 2826 nt
Organism: Sorex araneus (European shrew)
Lineage: Eukaryota; Metazoa; Chordata; Mammalia; Eulipotyphla; Soricidae
Exons: 3
Source: RefSeq, a predicted model, not a curated record
AGCAAUAGUUGUCUUUCUACUUUGGGGGCCACACCCAGCUGUGAUCAGAGCUAAUUCCUGACCCUGUGUUCAAGGAUGACUACUGGCAGGUCUCAGUGGUGUUAGAUGUUGAACUGGUUCAGCCAAGUGCAAGGUCAGGAUUCCUCCUGCUUGAGAAGCCACACGUUUCUUCACUCUCCAUAACUCACCAUGAACAUACAAAGAAAUUCUAACGGCAGCCACCUAAACACAAAAUAACACACAAGAAAAGAACUUCAGACUGCAAGAGAACCCACCAGACUUACUGAGUGAAGGAAUGAAGGCGCUAGCCCUUCAGAAGACUCUGCCAGUAAUAAUGAGCUACAUAAAGUCUAUGAUACGGAAUUUAGAGAGGAAUUGUUGAGGGGGUAUAAGGAGCUCAAAGAAAAUGAAAUAGACUGCCAGUAAAACACAAGGUGAUGUGCGAUCAGAAGUGAGCAAACUACAAACAGAAAUGACAGAUCUGAAAAACUUGGUUGGUGAAAUGAGAAAUCCCGGAAAGGCAUCGGCAGCAGAGGAACAAUUGCUAAAGAAAGAUCAGUGUGCUGCAAGAGGAGAUACAACACCAGAAGAUGGAAAAAGGCCUCAAAAUAAACCAACAGCUGACAAGAGAACUUUGGGAUAAAUACAAGAAGAACAACAUAACAGUCAUUGGGGUUCCAGUGGAACACUAUGUAGCUGUUAGGAAAAAUGAAAUCAUGAAAUUUGAUUGAAAGUGGAUACACAUGGAGAGUAUCAUGCUGAGCAAAGUGAAUCAGACGAAGAGGGACAAACAGGAUGUUUGUCCAUAGCGUUCUUUCUGUACACAUGCUUGCCUCUUAGCAUCAACAACUUUAUUGAAGAGGGAAGAAGCUUCAGACUCAGCUCGGACACCAGGGCCAUGCUGUGACCUGUCAGGGCCUGGCUUCUUCCUCCCUGCACUGGACUGGGCGGUGAUCUGAGGUUGCCGUGGCUCUGGCUGCUGAAACUCACCCAUGAACACGGGCAAAGCCAUGGGUAAUUUCCAACCAACGCUGGUUGUUAUGUAUUUUUACAUGCAAGUAAACUGCCAACUGAUACAGUUAUUUGUAUCUCAACAUAAUUGAACAUCAAAAUUCAUGAUGCUGAAUGGGGAUAAAAGGAGGCAUAAAUUUUUAUAUAUUAUAUAACACCUGGAAAUACUUUGAGUGAAAAAGUAACAGGAGGGGGCUGAGGAGAGAGUUUAUACGGGUUAGGGCUUAUCUGUGCACGUGGGAGGCCCAGGUUUAAUACCUGGGACCACACAGUCCCAAGCUCCACAGAGGGCAACAUACGCAUACACAAGGAGUGGGCCCCAAGAUCUUCAGAAUCGAAAAGAAAAGGAGGAUUCAUUUCAGGCCAUGCAAUUAAUGUCUAAACACUAAAAAUUAGUACUAGAAAGCUAAGUUCAAAUCUCUGUAAUUUUGACUCUUGGUAUAUAAUCUGUCAGUGCGCAAGUGAGCAGAACGGACAUGGUAUUUCAUUUGUUCGUUCAUCAGGAAGAACCAUCAUGGACCACUGAUUCUCAACAGCCAACGGCCUGACACAUCCCCUCCCCAGGUAACCUGCCGUCACCGUCACAGGCUCUCUAUAGUGUUCGGGUUCUGUCCCUUCCCGUUGAUGUGUCUGUGGUGCCAGGGUUCGCACACAUGAUGCAGCUUCCCUGGAGUCACACCUAUUGGUCGUGCUCUCACACUCCGGGUGUGUGGUGUGAGGACUCCCAACAACCGUGCGAGGGAUCAAACCGGGACUAAGAGGCUCCAUUCUAGCAAGUCAGGCAGUUCAGCGCUCAUGCCUUCUAGGCCCAGAGGGAACGUGUUUAAGGCACAGCUCUGUGCGUGAUGAGCAUGUGUGAGGCUGUGGGUCUGCUCCCUGAGCAACACAGGGUGCGACCCUAGAUGCCACCAUCUGCUGCCACAAUACAAGGAGCUCUGUGCUACAGAGGCUUUGACCAGGAGGCAGGAAGGAAUUAGGGUGCAUGCCCAGCAGGUCUGUGCCCAUACCCAUCAUAGGUUCUAUUCCCAGCACCUCGGAGUUCCCUGAGCACAGACCAAGUACUCUAAAGACCCUUGAGUCCUGCCAGGAAGUCUAUGUAUCCCUGGCACCACAGGGCCCAAGUGGCAUUGCAUCCUCAGGCCACACAGAGCAAUGUGUAGGUCCCAGUUGGCUGAGAGUCACUGGCGGGGAGAGGGGCGGGCAGGGGGCAGCAGGCUCGCGGUGCUCAGGGCGUAUUCCUUCUACACGCAGUCAUCUCUCCUUCCAGAGCUCACACCAGAGCUGGCCGCAUGCAAGGCAAGUGCCUUAUCCGCAGUACUAUCUCCAGCCUCUAAUCAGAGUUGUCUUCAAUACUGGACGGGAGACUGUGGAAAGGGAACUCACUGGAAGCCACAUAUUCUGUUAUCUCCAUGUCAUUCUUCAUAUUCUUUGAUUUUGAAAUUUAUUAUUUCUUGUUUGCUGACAAAGUUAAUUAUGUAAAAAUCUUUACAAAUUUAAAAAAGCUAGUUUAAUUUUAGAUUUACCAAAAAUGAUAAAUUAAUCAGCUUAAUUAUGGGGUAUUUACCAAGACAAAGCUUAUGUAUCAAUGAGACAUUUUAAAAGUCUGAAUAAUGUGCCAGAGAGAAACUGAAGUAUUAAGCACAUCGGGACUCUGGAGUUCUAUCCCCAGGACCACUGCCCUGAGCAGGAGUGAUUCCUGAUAAUUCAGUCAAAAAAAAAAAUGUCUGAGUAGACUAUAGACCGAACAUGAAGGCCACUCAAUACCUCUACUGCAAACUACAACACCCAAAAGGAGAGAGAACAAAAGGGAAUGCC